RNAcentral lists this ribosomal RNA (1951 nucleotides) under Salmonella enterica. Its description in RNAcentral is "partial 23S ribosomal RNA". It matches the Rfam family "Bacterial large subunit ribosomal RNA", at positions 404 to 2236 of the family's 2925-position model. The record is from RNAcentral. Lineage: Bacteria; Pseudomonadati; Pseudomonadota; Gammaproteobacteria; Enterobacterales; Enterobacteriaceae.
CUCGAUGAGUAGGGCGGGACACGUGGUAUCCUGUCUGAAUAUGGGGGGACCAUCCUCCAAGGCUAAAUACUCCUGACUGACCGAUAGUGAACCAGUACCGUGAGGGAAAGGCGAAAAGAACCCCGGCGAGGGGAGUGAAAAAGAACCUGAAACCGUGUACGUACAAGCAGUGGGAGCCCCACCACCAAAGCAUUCUCUGGUGUUGAAGGCCCUGCAAAGCAGCAUCGCGGUGGCGGAGCGUCGUUUGCGACGCCCAACACACAAAACAAGCGGUGAGUGCUUUGGGGUGGGGUGACUGCGUACCUUUUGUAUAAUGGGUCAGCGACUUAUAUUCUGUAGCAAGGUUAACCGAAUAGGGGAGCCGGAGGGAAACCGAGUCUUAAUUGGGCGUUAAGUUGCAGGGUAUAGACCCGAAACCCGGUGAUCUAGCCAUGGGCAGGUUGAAGGUUGGGUAACACUAACUGGAGGACCGAACCGACUAAUGUUGAAAAAUUAGCGGAUGACCUGUGGCUGGGGGUGAAAGGCCAAUCAAACCGGGAGAUAGCUGGUUCUCCCCGAAAGCUAUUUAGGUAGCGCCUCGUGAAUUCAUCUCCGGGGGUAGAGCACUGUUUCGGCUAGGGGGCCAUCCCGGCUUACCAACCCGAUGCAAACUGCGAAUACCGGAGAAUGUUAUCACGGGAGACACACGGCGGGUGCUAACGUCCGUCGUGAAGAGGGAAACAACCCAGACCGCCAGCUAAGGUCCCAAAGUCAUGGUUAAGUGGGAAACGAUGUGGGAAGGCCCAGACAGCCAGGAUGUUGGCUUAGAAGCAGCCAUCAUUUAAAGAAAGCGUAAUAGCUCACUGGUCGAGUCGGCCUGCGCGGAAGAUGUAACGGGGCUAAACCAUGCACCGAAGCUGCGGCAGCGACACUCAGGUGUUGUUGGGUAGGGGAGCGUUCUGUAAGCCUGCGAAGGUGGCCUGUGAGGGUUGCUGGAGGUAUCAGAAGUGCGAAUGCUGACAUAAGUAACGAUAAAGCGGGUGAAAAGCCCGCUCGCCGGAAGACCAAGGGUUCCUGUCCAACGUUAAUCGGGGCAGGGUGAGUCGACCCCUAAGGCGAGGCCGAAAGGCGUAGUCGAUGGGAAACGGGUUAAUAUUCCCGUACUUGGUGUUACUGCGAAGGGGGGACGGAGAAGGCUAUGUUGGCCGGGCGACGGUUGUCCCGGUUUAAGCGUGUAGGUGUGUGUUCCAGGUAAAUCCGGUUCACUUUAACACUGAGGCGUGAUGACGAGGCACUACGGUGCUGAAGCAACAAAUGCCCUGCUUCCAGGAAAAGCCUCUAAGCAUCAGGUAACAUCAAAUCGUACCCCAAACCGACACAGGUGGUCAGGUAGAGAAUACCAAGGCGCUUGAGAGAACUCGGGUGAAGGAACUAGGCAAAAUGGUGCCGUAACUUCGGGAGAAGGCACGCUGACAUGUAGGUGAAGUGAUUUACUCAUGGAGCUGAAGUCAGUCGAAGAUACCAGCUGGCUGCAACUGUUUAUUAAAAACACAGCACUGUGCAAACACGAAAGUGGACGUAUACGGUGUGACGCCUGCCCGGUGCCGGAAGGUUAAUUGAUGGGGUCAGCGCAAGCGAAGCUCCUGAUCGAAGCCCCGGUAAACGGCGGCCGUAACUAUAACGGUCCUAAGGUAGCGAAAUUCCUUGUCGGGUAAGUUCCGACCUGCACGAAUGGCGUAAUGAUGGCCAGGCUGUCUCCACCCGAGACUCAGUGAAAUUGAACUCGCUGUGAAGAUGCAGUGUACCCGCGGCAAGACGGAAAGACCCCGUGAACCUUUACUAUAGCUUGACACUGAACAUUGAGCCUUGAUGUGUAGGAUAGGUGGGAGGCUUUGAAGCGUGGACGCCAGUCUGCGUGGAGCCGACCUUGAAAUACCACCCUUUAAUGUUUGAUGUUCUAACGUGGACCCGU